GACGAGGGGUCCUAGCGUUGUUCGGAAUCAUUGGGCGUAAAGCGUGCGUAGGUGGCUUUGUAAGUCAGAUGUGAAAGCCCUGGGCUCAACCCAGGAAGUGCAUUUGAUACUGCUAAGCUUGAAUAUGGGAGAGGGUAGUAGAAUUCCUGGUGUAGUGGUGAAAUACGUAGAUAUCAGGAGGAAUACCGGUGGCGAAGGCGGCUACCUGGCCCAAUAUUGACGCUGAGGCACGAAAGCGUGGGGAUCAAAC
RNAcentral lists this ribosomal RNA (250 nucleotides) under uncultured bacterium. RNAcentral describes it as "partial 16S ribosomal RNA". It matches the Rfam family "Bacterial small subunit ribosomal RNA", at positions 524 to 773 of the family's 1533-position model. The record is from RNAcentral.